RNAcentral lists this ribosomal RNA (299 nucleotides) under Streptomyces sp. CNM11-15-20. Its description in RNAcentral is "partial 16S ribosomal RNA". It matches the Rfam family "Bacterial small subunit ribosomal RNA", at positions 54 to 354 of the family's 1533-position model. Lineage: Bacteria; Bacillati; Actinomycetota; Actinomycetes; Kitasatosporales; Streptomycetaceae. The record is from RNAcentral.
ACAUGCAAGUCGACGAUGAACCACUUCGGUGGGGAUUAGUGGCGAACGGGUGAGUAACACGUUGGGCAAUCUGCCCUGCACUCUGGGACAAGCCCUGGAAACGGGGUCUAAUACCGGAUACUGACCCGCCUGGGCAUCCAGGCGGUUCGAAAGCUCCGGCGGUGCAGGAUGAGCCCGCGGCCUAUCAGCUUGUUGGUGAGGUAACGGCUCACCAAGGCGACGACGGGUAGCCGGCCUGAGAGGGCGACCGGCCACACUGGGACUGAGACACGGCCCAGACUCCUACGGGAGGCAGCAGA